RNAcentral lists this ribosomal RNA (169 nucleotides) under Escherichia coli. RNAcentral's name for it is "partial 23S ribosomal RNA". It matches the Rfam family "Bacterial large subunit ribosomal RNA", at positions 2762 to 2925 of the family's 2925-position model. Lineage: Bacteria; Pseudomonadati; Pseudomonadota; Gammaproteobacteria; Enterobacterales; Enterobacteriaceae. The record is from RNAcentral.
AGAUAAGUGCUGAAAGCAUCUAAGCACGAAACUUGCCCCGAGAUGAGUUCUCCCUGACUCCUUGAGAGUCCUGAAGGAACGUUGAAGACGACGACGUUGAUAGGCCGGGUGUGUAAGCGAAGCGAUGCGUUGAGCUAACCGGUACUAAUGAACCGUGAGGCUUAACCUU